AGUUUGAUCAUGGCUCAGGACGAACGCUGGCGGCGUGCCUAACACAUGCAAGUCGAACGGGGCCCGCAAGGGUUCAGUGGCGAACGGGUGCGUAACACGUGAAGAACUUGUCCAUCGGCGGGGGAUAGCCGGCCCAACGGCCGGGUAAUACCGCGUACGCCGGCGAGGGCGCAUGCCCAUGCCGGGAAAGCAGCAAUGCACCGAUGGAGAGCUUCGCGGCCUAUCAGCUUGUUGGCGGGGUAAUGGCCCACCAAGGCGACGACGGGUAGCUGGUCUGAGAGGAUGACCAGCCACAUUGGGACUGAGACACGGCCCAGACUCCUACGGGAGGCAGCAGUGGGGAAUAUUGCGCAAUGGGGGAAACCCUGACGCAGCGACGCCGCGUGUGGGAUGACGGCCUUCGGGUUGUAAACCACUGUCGGGAGGGACGAAGAUCUGACGGUACCUCCAAAGGAAGCACCGGCUAACUCUGUGCCAGCAGCCGCGGUAAUACAGAGGGUGCGAGCGUUGUCCGGAAUUACUGGGCGUAAAGGGCGCGUAGGCGGCCUGAUAAGUAGGGGGUGAAAUUCCGUGGCUCAACCACGGAACUGCCUUCUAAACUGCCAGGCUUGAGCACGGUAGAG
RNAcentral lists this ribosomal RNA (623 nucleotides) under uncultured bacterium. Its description in RNAcentral is "bacterial SSU rRNA". It matches the Rfam family "Bacterial small subunit ribosomal RNA", at positions 10 to 656 of the family's 1533-position model. The record is from RNAcentral.